RNAcentral lists this long non-coding RNA (1379 nucleotides) under Canis lupus familiaris (dog). RNAcentral describes it as "lncRNA (ENSCAFG00040006096.1)". The record is from RNAcentral. Lineage: Eukaryota; Metazoa; Chordata; Mammalia; Carnivora; Canidae.
CUCAGCUAUGUGGACUUCUCUUCCUCAAGGCUAAUCUGUCUCCUGUCACUGUUGAAUGUCCAACCAGACAUUUGUAGUAAGCAGACAUGAGCCUUCGGUGUGGGGCCCAACUCUCCAGACACCAGAUAGGUAUUUGGUGUCAAACUGAUUAUAUAUUUUCAUGUAAGAGGCACUUAUUUGGGAUUUGAAUUUGCUUUUCCUGACUACCAUACACCUGCAAACAGCACAAUCUAUAGAUUUACUGAACACUUGACUCAUUUGAGACUUCUCUUUCAAAACAUUGCUUUUAAUAUCUUUUUUUUUUAGUAAGAUAAGGCAAUGUACUGUUGCUCAUGGGAUCAAUGGUCGCAUAGGUACCAGUGUUGUGAAACUUGAUUCUUUUUACAAGUCUGAAGAAAUUGAUAUUGACAAGGAUGGAGCAUGAGAACAACUGCCUUCGUCUUUUUUUUUUUUUUUUUUUUUUUUAUUCAUGAGACACACGCAGAGAGAGAGAGAGAGAGAUUGAGAGAGAGGCAGACACAGGAAGAGAGAGAAGCAGGCUCCAUGUAGGGAGCCCAAUGCAGCACUCAAUCCCGGGAUUCUAGGAUCACACCCUGGGCUGAAGGCAGGCACUAAACCACUGAGCCACCCAGGGAUCCCCGUGCCUUUGUCUUUUAAGAUAAAGUCCUUGGGGCACCUGGGUAGUGCUAUCAGUUAAGUGUCCGACUCUUGGUGUCGGCUCAGAUCAUGUUCUCAGGGUCGUGAGAUCGAGCCCCAUGUUGGGCUCCACACUCAGUGGGGAGUCUUCUUGGGAUUCUCUCUCUCUCUCCCUCUGUCCCUCCUCCCUCAAAUAAAUAAAUAAAUCCUUUUUUUUUUUUUUGAAAAGUAAGAUAAAUUCCUCAGGUAAAUAAUCAUGAAUGAUUUUUCAUGUGACCCACAUUUCUCAAGACAAAUUUCUGAAGACAGUCUUGGUCACAUACCUGAAUGGAAACCUCCAGGAAGAGGAAUAUGGCUUACUUGACUCCUGUGACUUCUGAACCAGAAGAUUCCAUUGGAGGACUCCGGGUACACUUCAAGGUCCUGCCUGAAGAAGCAUUAGAGGAGGAAGAAGCUGAGUAGGGCAAGGUAAGGUGUUUCCCCUAAGCAGCCAGAAGCAGCAUAAUCAUGAGGAGGUGACUAAAUUAUGAUGGAAGAGGGGUGCCAAUGACAAGGAAAAAGUUAUGAAAGAGGUCAGUUACAGGGAAAGGGGAAAUAAAUCUGAAAGCAGAAGGUUUGGGGGAAUGCUUUUGGCACAGAGUUCAUACAGAAUGCCAAAGAUAUGGGAACAGCCCAGAAAAUGUUGAGGCCACACAAGACCAGGCACUAGUCAGAAAUCUUUUGGGCCAAAGCAGGGAGGCUGA